CGGCACGGGUGAGUAACACGUAUCCAACCUGCCGUCUACUCUUGGACAGCCUUCUGAAAGGAAGAUUAAUACAAGAUGGCAUCAUGAGUCCGCAUGUUCACAUGAUUAAAGGUAUUCCGGUAGACGAUGGGGAUGCGUUCCAUUAGAUAGUAGGCGGGGUAACGGCCCACCUAGUCUUCGAUGGAUGGGGUUCUGAGAGGAAGGUCCCCCACAUUGGAACUGAGACACGGUCCAA
RNAcentral lists this ribosomal RNA (235 nucleotides) under uncultured bacterium. Its description in RNAcentral is "partial 16S ribosomal RNA". It matches the Rfam family "Bacterial small subunit ribosomal RNA", at positions 100 to 334 of the family's 1533-position model. The record is from RNAcentral.